This 5415-nucleotide long non-coding RNA is filed under the name Acyrthosiphon pisum (pea aphid). RNAcentral describes it as "uncharacterized LOC115034414". The record is from RNAcentral. Lineage: Eukaryota; Metazoa; Arthropoda; Insecta; Hemiptera; Aphididae.
AUAUAAUAUUAUACAUUUUAGAUUGGGGGUUGCACUAAAAUAUAAAUAGUGAUGCAUGGAGUUGGUAAAAUACCCAAAACAACUAUGUGGUACAUACUAUAGAAAAUAGAAAUACAGGACAAUUUACCAAGCAUGCAUACCCUCUUCCGUCUAAUCUUUAAAAAUGCAUUACUUUAAAUUCUGAUUUCUAAAAUUUUGAAGUAUAUACUAUAGAAUAAUAUUUUUACCAUUGAAGCAGUCAUAAGCAGUGUCCAGAAAUGGCAUACCUAUACUUUUUCUUAAUGAAAAACAAACUUUUUUACCAUUAAUUAUCGAAUGGUUUUUUUCUUGAUGAAUUGUAUCUACAUGCAUCUACAUCAAAACUCAAAUGAGUAGGUUCUUAGGUAAUCUUUGAAUUAUUGCACUUUUUUUAUUAUGGAUUUUAUGUUACAUUAUUAAUACUUUUACAAAUUAUGAUGAAGUGUGAAUGUCUGAUUGAAAUUAAUAAUUAUACCUACUAUAUUUUUCAAAUUAAUUAUAAUCAAAGCACCUUAUAUUUCUAAACUAUAAUCACGGAACUAUUUCAGUAUUAUCCUUGUGUAAUAAAUACGUGCCUAUCUAGGUGCGCAUAGCUAAAUAACUAAAAAACUAAUCGUUCAAAUUUCGAGUUUGAUACACAGUGUGUUGGAAAAAACCAGGGCAUAGAUACUGUGUGUUAUGGCCAAAUCGGGUGACUGUGGCCUUGAAGACGGUCUUCGGGGGGCGUGGUAUACGUUAUCAAUUGAAUAUUUCAUAUUAUAAAUAUUAUAAAUUAUUUUAAAAAUGUCAAUUAACAAUAUUAUAAUAUUUAAUUUAUAUUUCAUAUAAAAGUGUAUGGAAUUAUACUUAAAAAAACAAUAUCACAUGCUUAAAAAACUUUAAACAAAUUAAAACGGUCGUCAUCCGUUCGUAGUCAGUGGAUUGUUUCUGUUUAUAUUAUAAUUUCGUAACAAAGAGGGAUACACUAUACGUUGCCAACAUUCUAUAUCAGAUCACGGUACAACUUUUAGAGUACAAUACUUCAUACCGUAGGAAUACAGAAACCCGAUCAGCUGAUCGAGUGUCGCUUCUAUAUAUAAUAUAUAUAUAUAUAUUGUCCUGUGAUAAAACAUACUUGUAAUUUUAGUUUGAAAAAUAUUAAUUCUUAUUAUGUGGUAUUAAAUUCGAAGUAUUUGAAAAGAACGUCCUAAACGUGAGGGCAUACUUAAAAAAUCAGGAUUAAAAAUAUAAAUUCGGCAUAAGCACAUUAUGUUUGGUGAAUCGUUCAGUUCAUUAUAAUAUACGAGUAUAUGACAAUAAUAUUAUACACCUGCACAUUAUAUCCACACGAGCGGUAGAAAUGCGGUAGUGAGACACCGCAUGCGCCGCAUGAUGUAAUAUAACCAUAUAGGUAUUAUGGAUAUUAUGGUAAACGAAAUUUGUUCGACCUCGACCGGGCCGGUACGUGUAACGCAGAGAUUAUAUUAUUAUAUAUACUUUGUACAUGGGUUCCAAUCCCACCUGUAUAAUAUCUUCAUAGAUGGGCCCCUCAGACUCUUGCACAAUAACCAACGCACGCACGCACGCUAGUCUUAUCCUCGUCCAACACGAGUCUGCUCCUUAUACAAUAUAAAAUAUAUUAUAUGAAAAUAUCGUUCUCGUCAGUAGUUUUGUAGUUUAUGAUUCUGAAUCCGUCUCGUUUUUCAAUCAUUACAAUCGUUUUGCGCCCAAACAGCGAUCUGAUACGCGUUGAAACCGGACAGCGCCGGACAUGGCAGACGUAUUAUUGAUUAAGAUGAUAUGGACUUCCAGCCAAAACGAUUAUAAGUACAUUUAAGUUAAAUAUCUGAAUUUGUAAUCUGAAACUUUGUUUUGUUGAAUUUGUCGUGAAUACUAAUUAAUACCUUCACUUAGGAGGUGCUGCGCUCCAGAAAGCCUAAUCCCUGAGAUGAUAACGGAACGAUAAACUUGAAAAUCGAUGAGAUGAACUUACGUAUAAAGGAAUACAACUUACAAUUGGUUCAGGAAAAUGUUUCUAUAGUGAGUGGGAGGAGCGGGAAAAUUCACAUCACGUAAUUUUGCGUGACCAGACCAUAUACGUUAGAUAAUAUUAUGUAUAAUGACAGGUUCUAGAACACGCAUGCGUAUAGUUCGAGUACCUACAGUUAUUAAUCAAUUGCUAGUUCUUCCACGAUGAAGUAAAUUGAAACAAAUUCCCCGAUUCGAGUGGGUACGAGAUAAGUGACAAACGAUGUGUGGCCGGAGGCGUGAAAUACGAUUAUUAUAGGUAUUUGGUACCCACUCGUAUAAUUGACAGUGAAUCGUCACUGUUAUAUUAUAUUGUGUAGAUAAAAUAAAUCUAUUGUACGUUACUGUAUCGUGAUUUAAUAAUAUGUGCAUAUGUGUUUAUGUUUUUCAAAUUCAUUUAUUAAUUAAUAAAUACGGCUUAAAAUGUUGAGGUUUUUAAGCUUCAUCAUAAAAAUGUUCUAUAGUGUGUACACUUCAGGCGAUAUUUAUCAAAACGCUGAAGUACUUUGUUUGUGGACUAUCAAUGCGAACGUACAAUAUUUAAGACAUGCGUGGUGACAAUAUUAAAUGGUUGAAGGUCCAUCAUCUAUAUAUGCAGUUGUCCAUGGACUUAGGAACAUUGAAAUACGAUUCAAUUACAAAUCCCCGAGAAUCUCAACAAUAACUUCAUUGUAAGGUAAAACCUUUUACAUUAUUAACAAUCUUACUUGGCGUAAAUUUAUCUUAUGAAAACACGGGAGCGCAACUGAACAAAUAUUGCAAAAUCACAAAAUAAAUAUUUUGGUUUAGAUAAUAUUAUUAUUAAAUUAAAUCCAGAUCCAAUCAAACACAUCGAUAACGAGUAAGGCGGUGCGUGUGGAAAAAAAUCUAAUAUAUCUAUUAUACUUGAAUACAGUUAUCUUUGCUUUUUGGGACUCAUUGUAUAGAUCACGUGUUAUUAAUUAGUCCUGAUUAAGUGGUUGUCCUAAUUAACCUGCAAACGGUGUCUCUAUUAAGCGAAAACUGCUGUAUAUUACUAAUAAUAUAUAAAAAUACAAUUUUGUUCUACAGUCUACCAAUCUAAUAUCUAAUAUGUUAGUAUAAUUUAAGGAAUAUUAACUGUUACUUUGAAUUCUUACAUAGGCAGAGAGUAUAGGUGGAAUAACUCACGUUGACUUAAUCUCCUGAAAUACUUUUUAAGACCCCUAAAACUAAUUUUUUUAAAUUAGUUUCUUAAAUUAUACAUAUGAUCUUUUUGAUUUUAAGAUAAAAUCAAUUACCGUUUAUUGAAUAAUUUAUUAUUCCCCAGACAGUCAGACUUAAGACACAGAACUUUAAAUAUACUAGAAACAUAUUAUAACUGCAGAUGUAUAUAUCUAUUAAUAAAACCUGGCAUAAAUGACUAGCAGACUGUAUCGGCAAACCAGCCAGAGGGUUGUACACUGAUAUAACGAUAACUAUUUCACUAAAACAAAUUAUUAUUAUCUUAAAUUAGUAAUAACUGUAUAUUAUGCUAUAAUACUAUUCUACUAUUGUAUUUGUCAUAAAUAACAAAAGGUAGGUAAGUAUAAAGUGAUUUUGUUAUUAAUUUUUUUUUGGCAAAUUUGUUGAGGGCGAAGAAGCAAAGGCAUAAUAGUACUCAAUAUGGUAUCGAAUAAUAUGGAAAACAUAUUAAAUUAAAUCAGUUAAAAAUAAGUCAAUUAUUUUGUUACUCUUGAAUUGCACAGCGAUUUUACAACUUUAAUUUGGUAUAACCACUCCGUUAAACAUUAGUCCUAAUAUUCUUUUACAUUGUGCACUGUUGAGAAAUCACAAGCUUGAAUCCACUAAAACUAAAUUAUUAAAUCAAGAAAUAUUUAUAUAGGUAGCUAUUUAUUUAUUUUCAAUAUUUAUAACUAUAGGUAUAGUUGUAUAGGUACUGCGUGGUUAAAUAAAAAUAUUUAGUUAAAUUUAAGACUUAACUACAGCUGUAGUUAUAGAAUCAUAUAUAAACGUGUUCUUAACUUGACGUACUUACCUAAUCAACCAGAUCAAUCUAUAAGUAAAAAUUGCAAUAUAUUGUACAUCAGAUUCCAUACAUAAACCGGUUAAUUUAAACAAUAUUAAAAAAAUAUGAUUAUUGUAUUUAGUUCAUAUAGUAUUGGUAUAGACGGUUUUCAGGAAAAAGGGUAUAAGUCAAUUUGUAUAAACAAAAAUAAUAUCAUACAUUUAUUUUGUAGGAAAAAUGUAAUAUAACUGUUGUAUUUGUUUCGAUCGAUAAACGCGUUGGACAAUACGCUUUUGAGAUUUUAAAUAUCUAUUUCGCGUAAAAGCAUUCAGGAAACAUCAAACCUGUAUAGUGUUCCCAAAUCGUGAACACGUGGUACAGUCCGAAAACCAGCAAACCUAAAAAUGGAUUUCACAUCAUAAUAUUAUAUUAUACGGAUAGAGUUCCUGAACCAAGAACGAAAAAUAUCUAUUUCAGUAAAAUAUCGAUUUCGCUAGGCGAAAGGUUAAAAACGUCACAGCGGUGCAUGCAUCGAAUUCCGCAGCAUAUGAGUGAAGGUUUUCAGCAGUAUAUAUAAUAUAGGUACAGUAUAUUUUAAAAUUGCAGGCAGGGUCAAUACUCAAGACAGGUGCGGUGGAGAGGCAAACGGGGAAAUUGCUUCAAGUGGUACAUUUUUUUUAUAAGACGGCUUUUCAGUAGGUAGUGCUUUAUGUUGUACCAAAUUUUUAGAAAACGGGAUAUAUAAAUAAAAACAGUAUGAUAUUUGGUUUUCAGAUUGUAUUUACUUUUUUUCUUUUUCAAGUGACGUGGAUACGAUUUAUUAAUUUAUUAUUAAUUUUAAUUGUUUCGGUUUCGACUACAAUAAGCAUGUACAAUUUAGGUACUUUGUUUCCAUAAAAUUUGGUCCUGGAUGAUAAAUUAGUGUGUUAUAGAAAUGCUAGAACAGCGGAUACAAUAUGUUAAAAUUUAGCCCCACCCCGCCCAUAAAAAUAUCUCAUGUACCAUGUCAAAACAAUUGUUAGUUUCUAUGGUUGUUUUGGCAAUUUAAUUUUAUUAAACAAUUUUUAAUAUAUUUUGUAACUCUAUCGUUAUUGAGAUUUAGUCGAUGAGUUGUAUCCUCCUCAUAGGCGCAGCUAUAGGGUUGUUAUUCUGGAGGAAUAACAGCCCCUAUUACAAAACUAUUAACUUAUAAUAACCCAUAGAAAGGGGGGGGGUAUAUCUAAAAUCUAAAUCAAUAAAGGAUAUUUUUUUUUUUGCGAGGGGGCAAAAAAUAAUUAGGUUGGGCUAUGCCCUCCAUGACUAGUGCUCUAGCUAGUUUUUCCACUGCUCCUCCCAUCGUCAAGUCAAAGCAGAGAAAAUAUGUGAUAAUAUGCAAGAUACGCAUAAUAUCUAUUUGACGUCAAUAAACACUUUUAAAAUAAUAA